GACGGACGCUGGCGGCGUGCUUAACACAUGCAAGUCGAACGGAAAGGCCCAGCUUUUGUGGGGUGCUCGAGUGGCGAACGGGUGAGUAACACGUGAGUAACCUGCCCUUGACUUUGGGAUAACUUCAGGAAACUGGGGCUAAUACCGGAUAGGAGCUCCUGCUGCAUGGUGGGGGUUGGAAAGUUUCGGCGGUUGGGGAUGGACUCGCGGCUUAUCAGCUUGUUGGUGGGGUAGUGGCUUACCAAGGCUUUGACGGGUAGCCGGCCUGAGAGGGUGACCGGCCACAUUGGGACUGAGAUACGGCCCAGACUCCUACGGGAGGCAGCAGUGGGGAAUAUUGCACAAUGGGCGGAAGCCUGAUGCAGCAACGCCGCGUGCGGGAUGACGGCCUUCGGGUUGUAAACCGCUUUCGCCUGUGACGAAGCGUGAGUGACGGUAAUGGGUAAAGAAGCACCGGCUAACUACGUG
This 468-nucleotide ribosomal RNA is filed under the name uncultured bacterium. Its description in RNAcentral is "partial 16S ribosomal RNA". It matches the Rfam family "Bacterial small subunit ribosomal RNA", at positions 28 to 507 of the family's 1533-position model. The record is from RNAcentral.